This 772-nucleotide ribosomal RNA is filed under the name Minutisphaera aspera. Its description in RNAcentral is "LSU rRNA". It matches the Rfam family "Eukaryotic large subunit ribosomal RNA", at positions 93 to 885 of the family's 3401-position model. The record is from RNAcentral. Lineage: Eukaryota; Fungi; Ascomycota; Dothideomycetes; Minutisphaerales; Minutisphaeraceae.
GUGAAGCGGCAACAGCUCAAAUUUGAAAUCUGGUCCUUUCAGGGCCCGAGUUGUAAUUUGGAGAGGAUGCUUCGGCUGCGGCCCUGGUCUAAGUUCCUUGGAACAGGACGUCACAGAGGGUGAGAACCCCGUACGUGGCUGGGUGCCUACGCCAUGUGAAGCUCCUUCGACGAGUCGAGUUGUUUGGGAAUGCAGCUCUAAACGGGAGGUAGAUUUCUUCUAAAGCUAAAUACCGGCGAGAGACCGAUAGCGCACAAGUAGAGUGAUCGAAAGAUGAAAAGCACUUUGGAAAGAGAGUUAAAAAGUACGUGAAAUUGUUGAAAGGGAAGCGCUUGCAACCAGACUUGGACGUAGUUGCUUAGCCGGGCUUCUGCCCGGUGCACUCUUCUGCGUCCAGGCCAGCAUCAGUUCAAGCGGCCGGAUAAAGGCCUUGGGAAUGUAGCUCCUCUCGGGGAGUGUUAAAGCCCUCGGUGCAAUGCGGCCUGCCUGGACUGAGGUCCGCGCUUCGGCUAGGAUGCUGGCGUAAUGGUUGUAAGCGGCCCGUCUUGAAACACGGACCAAGGAGUAUAACAUCUAUGCGAGUGUUUGGGUGGAAAACCCAUGCGCGUAAUGAAAGUGAACGGAGGUGGGAGCCCUAGGGCGCACCAUCGACCGAUCCUGAUGUCUUCGGAUGGAUUUGAGUAAGAGCAUAGCCGUUAUGACCCGAAAGAUGGUGAACUAUUCCUGAAUAGGGUGAAGCCAGAGGAAACUCUGGUGGAAGCUCGCAGCGGUU